Cajanus cajan (pigeon pea) is the source of this 242-nucleotide non-coding RNA. Lineage: Eukaryota; Viridiplantae; Streptophyta; Magnoliopsida; Fabales; Fabaceae. The record is from RefSeq and is a predicted model, not a curated record.
UGCGGUACUGAUAUUGUUGAGUGGUAUAAGCUGUAUAAAGCAGGGAUAGGUGGGCGUCUAAGGAUGAGUCUUCGGCGGACCAGUAGAGCUGAUCGUUUUUGUGACUAUUUUGUUAUGUAGCUACUUGGGAUAGUAGCAUUGAUUGGACUUUGUGUUGUACACUCUAACUCUAGUCGGAUAGAGACUUUGUAUAUAUUUAUAUUCUAGAUCCUAUACUUAUAUACUUGUCCUUUCUGUCUGGC